UGGGGGCUUGAGUUGAGACUGUCAGU
This 26-nucleotide non-coding RNA is filed under the name Mus musculus (house mouse). Lineage: Eukaryota; Metazoa; Chordata; Mammalia; Rodentia; Muridae. The record is from RNAcentral.